UUCCUCCAGUCUUAGGGAAAAAAAAAUAUUUAGUUUAGGUUAUACAUGCUAGUGUGUGCGAAUGGGUGAGGAUAAAAAUAAAAAAAGUUUUUUUUUUGUUGUAUUAAAAAAAGAAAAGUUUUUUAUUUUUUUUUUUGAAGAUGCAUGGUCUAACCACAUUUUCCCUGAAACAAAAGAAAACCUUUGGCAGCAGUAACAAAUUUUAUGAAAUAUACGAAAGUAGGACAUAGGUAAGAGAAAAAAAAUCUGUCAAAUAGAAGUGCCAGCAGACGCGGUAAGACUUAAGGAUUUAUUUUUUUUAUAAAAAGCAAAAAGCGUGUUAAGGAUUAAAAAAAAAAAUAAAUAGAAUUUUUUUGGUAAUUGUGAAAUGUUAGAAUGAAAAAAAGAAUUUUUUAUAUGAAAAUAAUUUAUUUUUUUUUUUUUUUUCUUAAAGACGAAGGUUUUGAGAGCAAACAGGAUUAGAGACCCUGGUAGUCUAUACAGUAAAAAAAUAUCGCUUGAGUAGUACGGUCGCAAGAUUAAAAUUCAAGAGACUUGGCUGUUCGGUUGUUAAUUAGAGGAGCGCGCCGCUUAAUUCGAUAAUCCGCGAGAGACCUUACCGAAGUUUGAAUCUAUAAACAGGUGUUGCAUGGCCGUCGUCAAUUUCUGUUUAAGACAAAGAGGGGUUUAAUCCUAUCAAGGUUGAAGUCAGGUAUUAUGACCCUUAUAUUUCGGGGUUAGGCGCGCUACAUUUCUCUCUUAGAAAAGGAGGGGUUCGGAUUGUCUUUAAAAUAAGAUAAUGAAGUUGGAUUUAAUAGUAAUUGAAAAGUAGUGCGUUUCAAUGAACGUGAAAACAAUGUUAGUACACAUAGCCCGUCGCCAGCCCAGAAAUAGGCUGUAAGUCGUAACAUAGUAAGAGUGAGGGAACUGGCUCUUG
Molecule: ribosomal RNA, 916 nt
Filed under: Seriatopora hystrix (bird's nest coral)
Lineage: Eukaryota; Metazoa; Cnidaria; Anthozoa; Scleractinia; Pocilloporidae
Description: small subunit ribosomal RNA
Rfam family: Bacterial small subunit ribosomal RNA
Source: RNAcentral